Molecule: unclassified non-coding RNA, 199 nt
Filed under: uncultured fungus
Lineage: Eukaryota; Fungi
Description: sequence contains ITS1, 5.8S rRNA gene
Source: RNAcentral
UUGAAUUCCAAUUGGGUGAGAUUGCUGCUGGCUCUCGGGCAUGUGCACAUCUCAUUCAUUUACCUCUCACCUCUGUGCACUUUUCACAGGACAGCUGGUGGCUGUGGGCUUCAUUGACCAUGGCUGCAGGUUGCCUUGUGUGCUUUAAAAACUCAAAAAUAAGUUUAGAAUGUUUAUUGUGUAUCCACACAUUUAAAUA